RNAcentral lists this ribosomal RNA (253 nucleotides) under uncultured bacterium. RNAcentral describes it as "partial 16S ribosomal RNA". It matches the Rfam family "Bacterial small subunit ribosomal RNA", at positions 524 to 776 of the family's 1533-position model. The record is from RNAcentral.
UACGGAGGGGGCUAGCGUUGUUCGGAAUUACUGGGCGUAAAGCGCACGUAGGCCGGCUGUUAAGUCGGGGGUGAAAUCCUGGGGCUCAACCCCAGAACUGCCCUCGAUACUGGCAGCCUAGAGGACGGAAGAGGCUAGUGGAAUGGCGAGUGUAGAGGUGAAAUUCGUAGAUAUUCGCCGGAACACAAGUGGCGAAGGCGACUAGCUGGUCCGUUUCUGACGCUGAGGUGCGAAAGCGUGGGGAGCAAACAGG